UGAAAAUUUAAUUUUAAAUAUUAAAUUAGUAUUAGUUAAGUUCUUGAAAUUUAAAAAAUUUGGCGGUAUUUUAGUCUAUUCAGAGGAACCUGUUUUGUAAUCGAUAAUCCACGUUGUAUCUUACUUAGAUUUGUUUUUAUAGUUUAUAUAUCGUCGUUUAUUGAAUAUUUUAUAAAAAUAAUAAUUUUCUUGAUUUUUUAAUUUAAAGUAUAUCAGAUCAAGAUGUAGCUUAUAUUUAAGUUUAUAAUGGGUUACAAUUAUUAUAUUAAUGGAAAUAUAUUUGUAAUUAUUUAUUGAAAUUGGAUUUGAUAGUAAAUUUAUAUAGAUUAAUAAUUUGAUAAUAGCUCUAAAAUAUG
Molecule: ribosomal RNA, 356 nt
Filed under: Dasydorylas holosericeus
Lineage: Eukaryota; Metazoa; Arthropoda; Insecta; Diptera; Pipunculidae
Description: partial 12S ribosomal RNA
Source: RNAcentral